UACGUAGGGGUGCAAGCGUUUGUCCGGAAUUAUUGGGCGUAAAGAGCUCGUAGGCGGUCUGUCGCGUCUGGUGUGAAAAACUCAAGGCUUAACCUUGGGCCUGCAUCGGGUACGGGCAGACUAGAGGUAUGCAGGGGGAGAACGGAAUUCCUGGUGUAGCGGUGAAAUGCGCAGAUAUCAGGAGGAACACCCGAGGCGAAGGCGGCUCUCUGGGACGUAACUGACGCUGAGAUGCGAAAGCGUGGGGAGCAAACAGG
This 257-nucleotide ribosomal RNA is filed under the name uncultured bacterium. RNAcentral's name for it is "partial 16S ribosomal RNA". It matches the Rfam family "Bacterial small subunit ribosomal RNA", at positions 524 to 776 of the family's 1533-position model. The record is from RNAcentral.